AUUGAACGCUGGCGGCAGGCCUAACACAUUCAAGUCGAGCGGAUGAAGGGAGCUUGCUCCUGGAUUCAGCGGCGGACGGGUGAGUAAUGCCUAGGAAUCUUCCUGGUAGUGGGGGAUAACGUCCGGAAACGGGCGCUAAUACCGCAUACGUCCUGAGGGAGAAAGUGGGGGAUCUUCGGACCUCACGCUAUCAGAUGAGCCUAGGUCGGAUUAGCUAGUUGGUGGGGUAAAGGCCUACCAAGGCGACGAUCCGUAACUGGUCUGAGAGGAUGAUCAGUCACACUGGAACUGAGACACGGUCCAGACUCCUACGGGAGGCAGCAGUGGGGAAUAUUGGACAAUGGGCGAAAGCCUGAUCCAGCCAUGCCGCGUGUGUGAAGAAGGUCUUCGGAUUGUAAAGCACUUUAAGUUGGGAGGAAGGGCAGUAAGUUAAUACCUUGCUGUUUUGACGUUACCAACAGAAUAAGCACCGGCUAAAUUCGUG
This 484-nucleotide ribosomal RNA is filed under the name uncultured bacterium. Its description in RNAcentral is "partial 16S ribosomal RNA". It matches the Rfam family "Bacterial small subunit ribosomal RNA", at positions 30 to 507 of the family's 1533-position model. The record is from RNAcentral.